CAUUAUGUUUUAUUACGCGCGUGUAGUGGUUUGGGAUGUAGUGAUUCUAUAGAAGCUGUGUAUUAGAGCACUGGUGAUUAAUGUCCGAGAUAGUUGAAUGAGUUCGGCUAAAAAAAGUUCAUAAAGUGUACACGAAUAUAAAAAAAAAUACGCUUUUAUCAUGGAUAUAGUUCUAUAACAGCAUUGAUUUUGUGAUAACUCGGCUAAACAAAAUAUCGAUAUAGGUUAUUAUACCAAGGCAAAUUUGAAGCAUUUUUCAUUCCUGUGUGCGAGUAAUAAUAUCACGAGGCAAAAUUCUGGGUCAUACCUGUGACUGUACUAAUUGACUAGUGCUUUAAUUUGUUUGGUUUAUUCAUAGCUCAGGACGUGAUUUGUCUCCAUUAUCAGAUAUAGAAAACCAAAUGGAGGCCGACACUGCAAACCAACAGGAAAUGGCGCUUACAAGCAAUAUAAAUUCAGAUACAGGAAGAAAAAAUACUGUAAAAAGAGGCGUUAUCCGAAUGGCCAGCUUUUUGUUUUGGUCAAACUUUACCGCUUUCGUUUCGUUAACGAUUGGGUGUUUUGCUCCUGGAUGGGAUUCUUAUGGAGGGAUUCACUAUUCUCUUUGGUAUUUCACAUACUGUGACUCACCGCAUGUUGACAAAUACUACGCCUUUCCAUCUCCUAUCAAGUGUGUGACGAUGACGUAGUCAGAUUGGUUAUUCUCCGAGAGUACACAAAGAUCUCGAUGAAGCAGACUUUGCGCAAGCGGAAGUGCUAUAUUGCAUCGGAAUGAUUUUGUCUUUUGCCACAUUGAUAAAAUUUUACCAACACAGACAGAAAGUUGCCAGGGGUAUUGGUGAUGAAUUUCGUUUAAAAAAAUGGGCUUUUCUUCUAAUUUUGUCAAGCCUCUCAGCUGUACUUGUUUUUCUUCCCGUCGGAAUGUUUCAUGGAAACAUUAGAGGCACCCUGUCGUCUAUAACCCAGUUAAUUGGAAAAGCUACUGCUGGAUUUGGUGGAGCAGUGAUGGCAUUGACUGCUACGUCAAUGUUUUUAUGUUGUCCAGCUCUUCCCUGCAGUGUCUUUAAGUAUGAUUAUACAGCCUGUCAGCCUGUGUAAUACAAUCAAUCUUCGUGUAGUGUUUGCAGCAUUCCCACCGACUGUGUCUAUAGCAACAUGAGGUCUUCAUCGACACACGUGAAAGAGCGGGGUCUAAUGCUUACUUGACUUUUACAUAUGUUUAGUUAUCAUCAUCAUCUGUCGCUCAUCAUCGUCACAUAUCUCCCCUUUGCACUGAUGACACUUGCCUAGGAUAUUGCUACCAAAUAGUUUAUAAUACAAAUUUGUUUAAAUAACUGAGCAGAUGUUUAUAAUAGUUGUUUAUCUAGAUUCUACUAUAAUUAUAGCUUUUAAAAUAUUUUCAGAACUUGAAGCAAUAAGAUUGUAGUUAUAUUUCAUACAUUUUAUGUUAAAACAUCGUAGAGAUUUUAAUUUUGUUUUUAAUUGAAAGUAGGUCGCCAAUUACUGACAUUGCUAGUAUAGGCAAGAAUUGAUGUAGACAUGCAUUACAUGAAAGUAG
Long non-coding RNA from Ruditapes philippinarum (Manila clam), 1558 nucleotides. RefSeq lists it as uncharacterized. The record is from RefSeq and is a predicted model, not a curated record. The transcript has 4 exons. Lineage: Eukaryota; Metazoa; Mollusca; Bivalvia; Venerida; Veneridae.